RNAcentral lists this ribosomal RNA (468 nucleotides) under uncultured bacterium. RNAcentral's name for it is "partial 16S ribosomal RNA". It matches the Rfam family "Bacterial small subunit ribosomal RNA", at positions 28 to 507 of the family's 1533-position model. The record is from RNAcentral.
GACGAACGCUGGCGGCGUGCUUAACACAUGCAAGUCGAACGGAAAGGCCCUGCUUUUGUGGGGUGCUCGAGUGGCGAACGGGUGAGUAACACGUGAGUAACCUGCCCUUGAUUUUGGGAUAACUUCAGGAAACUGGGGCUAAUACCGGAUAGGAGCUCCUGCUGCAUGGUGGGGGUUGGAAAGUUUCGGUGGUUGGGGAUGGACUCGCGGCUUAUCAGCUUGUUGGUGGGGUAGUGGCUUACCAAGGCUUUGACGGGUAGCCGGCCUGAGAGGGUGACCGGCCACAUUGGGACUGAGAUACGGCCCAGACUCCUACGGGAGGCAGCAGUGGGGAAUAUUGCACAAUGGGCGGAAGCCUGAUGCAGCAACGCCGCGUGCGGGAUGACGGCCUUCGGGUUGUAAACCGCUUUCGCCUGUGACGAAGCGUGAGUGACGGUAAUGGGUAAAGAAGCACCGGCUAACUACGUG